RNAcentral lists this ribosomal RNA (502 nucleotides) under uncultured bacterium. RNAcentral describes it as "bacterial SSU rRNA". It matches the Rfam family "Bacterial small subunit ribosomal RNA", at positions 22 to 518 of the family's 1533-position model. The record is from RNAcentral.
GGUCAGGAUGAACGCUAGCGGCAGGCUUAACACAUGCAAGUCGAGGGGCAACGCGAGUAGCAAUACUCGGCGGCGACCGGCGCAAGGGUGCGUAACGCGUGAGCAACAUGCCCGUAUCAGGGGGAUAAUCCAGGGAAACUUGGUCUAAUACCCCAUAGUAAUUUUGUAAGGCAUCUUAUAAGAUUUAAAGCUUUGGUGGAUACGGAUUGGCUCGCGUGACAUUAGCUGGAUGGUAAGGUAACGGCUUACCAUGGCUAUGAUGUCUAGGGGUUCUGAGAGGAAGGUCCCCCACACUGGAACUGAGACACGGUCCAGACUCCUACGGGAGGCAGCAGUGAGGAAUAUUGGACGAUGGAUGGAAAUCUGAUCCAGCCAUGCCGCGUGAAGGAAAGAAGGUCCUAUGGAUUGUAAACUUCUUUUGUAUGGGAGCAAUAAGGCCUACGAGUAGGUUGAUGAGAGUACCAUACGAAUAAGCACCGGCUAACUCCGUGCCAGCCGCUGC